UAGGGGGGCAGAUCACGUGAUUUUGGGGUAGGUUUAUAUAAAGUCGCAUACUCGACAGAAAAUCAUAUUUCGUUACAAACUCUGAUAUCUUUGGGGGUUGUAGAGAAAUUGGAGCCAGUAUAUGAACAUUUUGUUUUGUUAAAUUGUCUCCAUACUGCCACUUUAUCAAAGGAGAUACUUUUCACGUCAUGAAUUUAGGAGCUCUUGUCUGGGCGAUUCUGUUGGGCGUCCUUAUUACUCAGAUUGACGCAAGGGCACAUCGACUAAAAAGGCAAUUUGGUGGCUUUGGUGGCGAAGAUUCAAACCCUUUCGGUUCCGGAA
Saccostrea cuccullata (small rock oyster) is the source of this 321-nucleotide long non-coding RNA. RefSeq lists it as uncharacterized. The transcript has 3 exons. The record is from RefSeq and is a predicted model, not a curated record. NCBI's taxonomy places the organism in Eukaryota, Metazoa, Mollusca, Bivalvia, Ostreida, Ostreidae.